GUGCUUGCUUUGACAGCACAUAUACUAAAAAAUUGGAAUGAUACAGAGAAGAUUAGCAUGGCCACUGUGCAAGAAUGACAUGCAAAUUCACGAAGCAUUCCAUUAAAAA
Macaca mulatta (Rhesus monkey) is the source of this 109-nucleotide small nuclear RNA. NCBI's taxonomy places the organism in Eukaryota, Metazoa, Chordata, Mammalia, Primates, Cercopithecidae. The record is from Ensembl.